Molecule: non-coding RNA, 21 nt
Filed under: Caenorhabditis elegans
Lineage: Eukaryota; Metazoa; Nematoda; Chromadorea; Rhabditida; Rhabditidae
Source: RNAcentral
CUUUAAAUUCACCACUUGAGA